GGAGGGGGGCAGGGUGUCUUGAGUUUUCACCAGAGCCUAUCGCAGGGUUGCCAGGAAGCCAGUGGCCUACUUCAGAGUCACAGUGUUACACUUGGACCUACGUGGUUAUCACCAAAAUGAGGUUUCAAACACACUGUCCUGUUGGGGUUUAUUAUGAGGAAUUGGCUCACGUGAUUAUGGAAGCUGAGAAGUCCUAAGAUCUACUGUCUGAAGGCUGGAGAUCCAGGAAAGCCAGUGGUGAAGUCCAAUCUGAAUCCCCAAAGGCCUGAGGACCAGAGUGCAUGGUGUAAAUCCCUGUCCAAGGGCAGGAGAAGACAGAUGUCCCAGCUCAAGCAGUCAGGUCCUGGAAGGAUGACCUUGGUGUGAAAACUGGAGGGCUCAGGAGCGUUUGACAACCUGUUUAUGUCACUGAGAACACGUAUGCCAGCCAACAGUGCCCCGUCCCCAGGAUAUACUACUUCCCCAAACUUCUUUUCUGCUUGGUCAAUCUGUUACAUUCUCAAGAGAAGAUAACUGCAGACCUGACCUGACCUGAUUCGGGCCUCCUUGGGAAGAAUCUGGCCUCGAAGGACCUUCCCGGCCCAAAUGGCCGCUUACAGACAUUCUUCCCC
Molecule: long non-coding RNA, 611 nt
Organism: Aethalodelphis obliquidens (Pacific white-sided dolphin)
Lineage: Eukaryota; Metazoa; Chordata; Mammalia; Artiodactyla; Delphinidae
Exons: 4
Source: RefSeq, a predicted model, not a curated record